RNAcentral lists this ribosomal RNA (507 nucleotides) under uncultured Glomeromycotina. RNAcentral's name for it is "partial small subunit ribosomal RNA". It matches the Rfam family "Eukaryotic small subunit ribosomal RNA", at positions 591 to 1092 of the family's 1831-position model. Lineage: Eukaryota; Fungi; Glomeromycota. The record is from RNAcentral.
CCAAUAGCGUAUAUUAAAGUUGUUGCAGUUAAAAAGCUCGUAGUUGAAUUUCGGGAUUGACGUGACGGUCGUGCCUUAAGGGGUAUGAACUGUCGCCGUUGAUUUCUCACCUUCUGGAGAAACUCGAUGCACUUUAUUGGGUGUCUUGCGGAUACAGGACCUUUACCUUGAAAAAAUUAGAGUGUUUAAAGCAGGCAUUUUUGCUCGAAUACAUUAGCAUGGAAUAAUAAAAUAGGACGGCUUGGUUCUAUUUUGUUGGUUUCUAGGAUCACCGUAAUGAUUAAUAGGGAUAGUUGGGGGCAUUAGUAUUCAAUUGUCAGAGGUGAAAUUCUUGGAUUUAUUGAAGACUAACUACUGCGAAAGCAUUUGCCAAGGAUGUUUUCAUUAAUCAAGAACGAAAGUUAGGGGAUCGAAGACGAUCAGAUACCGUCGUAGUCUUAACCAUAAACUAUGCCUACUAGGAAUCAGACGAUGUUAAUUUUUUAAUGACUCGUUUGGCACCUUACG